UGGGGAAUUUUGGACAAUGGGCGAAAGCCUGAUCCAGCAAUGCCGCGUGUGUGAAGAAGGCCUUCGGGUUGUAAAGCACUUUUGUCCGGAAAGAAAUCCUUGGCUCUAAUACAGUCGGGGGAUGACGGUACCGGAAGAAUAAGCACCGGCUAACUACGUGCCAGCAGCCGCGGUAAUACGUAGGGUGCAAGCGUUAAUCGGAAUUACUGGGCGUAAAGCGUGCGCAGGCGGUUUGCUAAGACCGAUGUGAAAUCCCCGGGCUCAAACCUGGGGAACUGCAUUGGUGACUGGCAGGCUAGAGUAUGGCAGAGGGGGGUAGAAUUCCACGUGUAGCAGUGAAAUGCGUAGAGAUGUGGAGGAAUACCGAUGGCGAAGGCAGCCCCCUGGGCCAAAUACUGACGCUCAUGCACGAAAAGCGUGGGGGAGCAAAACAGGAUUAGA
This 441-nucleotide ribosomal RNA is filed under the name uncultured bacterium. Its description in RNAcentral is "partial 16S ribosomal RNA". It matches the Rfam family "Bacterial small subunit ribosomal RNA", at positions 355 to 782 of the family's 1533-position model. The record is from RNAcentral.